Molecule: long non-coding RNA, 878 nt
Filed under: Bos taurus (domestic cattle)
Lineage: Eukaryota; Metazoa; Chordata; Mammalia; Artiodactyla; Bovidae
Description: partial LINC24065-V1
Source: RNAcentral
GCCUUAUGGAAAUGGUUAUUGUUAAUCCAAGUCUUUUCACUGAGUUUUAUUAAAAACAAGAAAACCACGUAGUUUUUAAAUCUCUGUGGGUAUUGAAAUAGACAUAUGGAGAUAAUAAAUAUUAUUCACGUUUCUUAUCUAAUGUUAGUUAUUUCCUAGAUAUUGAUGUGUUCUUACAUAUAAAUGGAUGAAGUUUUAAUCACAGGCAAUAGUUUAAAAGGAGGCAAAUGUGGCUCAGUAAGAAAGAAGAAUAAUGACUCAUCUGUAUGUAUACCACUAAUUCUCUCUUCCUAGUUUAGAUAUGAACAUGUAGACAGGUACAUGAAGAUCAUUUCUAUUUUGGGUUCUUUCGAUUCUGGAUUUCUGUCAUUUUCUUUGUGUGUUUGUAUAUUUGAACAUAUGAUCACAUAUUCCAUGAAUAAUUCCAUACCUGAAUAAAUACAACAGUGAACAGUUGAAUUAAUGUGAGUAGGGUCAAACAUCAGAGAAGGCGGUGGCACCCCACUCCAGUACUCCUGCCUGGAAAAUCCCAUGGACGGGGGAGCCUGGUGGGCUGCCAUCUAUGGGGUUGCACAGAGUCGGACACGACUGAAGUGACUUAGCAGCAGCAGCAGCAGCAGCAGCAGGGUCAAGCAUAGACUUUGAAUGAAGACUGUGGCUGCUUCAAUCAAUCUUCUCUGAGGAAGAUCUUGGCUGUUACCUUUGUGGAACGGAUGCUCAAUGAUUCAAUUAAGGACUGUAGAAACUUUUGAGCUCUAGAAUGGAUGCCUAUUAGCAGAUUUCAGCAUCUCCCAUGGUCAUGUGCUCUGCAGACUAAGAACGGACCAGUGGGGCUGGCUGGAAAGCUCUUCCACGGACGCGCUCUCUGGUUGCCUCCA